UACGUAGGCAGCAAGCGUUGUUCGGAAUUACUGGGCGUAAAGAGUGUGUAGGCGGUGCUCUAAGUUCGGUGUGAAGUCUCCCGGCUCAACUGGGAGGGUGCGCCGGAAACUGGGGUGCUGGAGCGCGGGAGAGGAAAGCGGAAUUCCUGGUGUAGCGGUGAAAUGCGUAGAUAUCAGGAGGAACACCGGCGGUGUAGACGGCUUUCUGGACCGUAGCUGACGCUGAGACACGAAAGCGUGGGUAGCAAACAGG
RNAcentral lists this ribosomal RNA (253 nucleotides) under uncultured bacterium. Its description in RNAcentral is "partial 16S ribosomal RNA". It matches the Rfam family "Bacterial small subunit ribosomal RNA", at positions 524 to 776 of the family's 1533-position model. The record is from RNAcentral.